This 1317-nucleotide long non-coding RNA is filed under the name Toxoplasma gondii VEG. Lineage: Eukaryota; Apicomplexa; Conoidasida; Eucoccidiorida; Sarcocystidae. The record is from RNAcentral.
UGUGUCGCCAAAAAAAUACUGGUAGAUGAGUUCCCUGUUAUAGUCAUCGCCUUCCAAGUUCGGACGAAUGUCCACUGAGAUGGCGACAGGAGGGACGAUUUUUCCGAGGACAACGCCCACUGGCACACAUAACGUGGGAGGACAAACCACAUAGCAGUUGUGUGCAGCUGCCCGUCGUCUGCAGUCAUCUCUCUGUCUGUGGGGCUUCUUGGUUUCCUAUUGGCAGAGACACUUCUAAUGUACUGUGACGGCAGGAAAUUGACUGGCACGAAGCGAUUGCAGUCCGCGAGUGCAUCGCGACGCCGCGAAACUCAUCGGGUGAACUUCUUCUGCGGUGAUUCUCUGAUAGAAGCAGAAUGUAGCGAUUUGCAUUGCCCCUAUUGUCGGUUCUUCGACUGUCCCAGUACCAGCAUCACAUUUGAAGAGAGAUCGAGAGCGCAAGAAUGGCUGUGUCGCGCAGGGCUGCGCGGUACCGCCGGCGUUCAGUCUUGUGCUUGCUUCGAUUUGAAACUACACGGGGCAUGAGUGAAGAGAAUGGCCCUGCGCCAGUACACACUAUUGGGGCACCUCCCGGCAAUGCUUUAGGGGGACUAGGCUGUCCAGGCCUUUCGGCUUUGACAGCACGGGUCUCUAUCCAUGCGCUUGCAUUCCUCAAUCCAUGACAGUUCACUUGAAAGCGCCCCAAAACGCCACAUCGUUGUUAUUUGUCACGCAUAACGCAAGGUAAAAGCGCCAAGGGGGAAGGACUUCGAGAGAAAAGAAGCGAGUAGGUUUUUCUGAUGCAGCGCAUUCAAGGGAGUAAAUGUUUUGUCUCAUGUGGUGGGCACCUGGCCAUAUGCCUGCCGUUGCAGUGUGCAUACAUCAGGGCGCAGCCGACUGUUCUUACACUUCUGUGGAUCACUCCAACUGCAAAGCUUCCUUGUUUAUGAUCUGUAUCUCUGUUUUGUGCUACUCCCUCGUUUUGAUACCGCGAGGUUGCUUUAUUGUUUUGCUGAUUUCCAAAGAUGUACUUCGGCGGCCCUGAUGAUAUACCCAUUGAGGGGAUGGAGUUUGAGAAAUCAAAGCCUAGGAUUCUGGUGGUCGCCAUGUUCUGCGUUGCCGCGAUCGUGGCUCACUUCUUCGCUCAAGAUGUGAGCGAUCUAAAUUUUAUCCGUCCAAACAAAUUUCAUGGCCAUAUGCAGAUGGGAGGAUGUGUGACAAUGGCCAUCUUCGGUGAGUGAAGUAGACGCACACACCCAGAAGGCCGUUGCUGAGGCUGAGACCAUUAGGCUCUCUUUUGUAUUACUUCUACAAAUCCCCAACCCACUUAAGCAUCAC